AAACCUAAUCGACCUCUGUAGUCGAUUUGCAUUUAAUCUGAUCGUUACUUCACUUCAUCUUCCUUUUCUGUAUUCAAUUCUCAUUAUAAACCCCAAACAAAAUUCUUAAUAGGAGAGAAGCUAGAAUGAGAAGGCAGGGAAUGUGACUUACUCCGAAAGUGAACCAGCUACGUUACUCCGGCCACCCUAUCGGUCAACCUCGGUGAUAGAGACCGAUGCUUUGUUUUGGGGAUUAACUGGUGGGGUUGAACCUAUACAGCAACGACGAUGUACCGAUUAGGCGACAAAUCAGGUUCCGGUCAAGGCUAGGGUUCCAGCGAGUACGUCGGUAAGCUUUCCAAAAUUCACAAUAUGUAUUUGCUUAGUAGAUAUGUGAUUCAUAGUAAUAGCGAGUACCGAUCAUUCUCUUCCUACAAAAACCCUCACGAGUGCAGGGGAGGUGGUUGUUGACGGUGUGUAAUCUCAAUUGUCGAUUCCGAUGAACAGAGCCAUGUCUGCUUCUUCUAAAUCAAGCCUUUGUUCUCUGUUUAGAAGUGAUGCACUUCACAAAGACCCUAGGGGGUUUAUUGUGAGACGAUUUUCACUUCUGUUCAGAGUCUGGUCAUGAAUCAGGGGAUGUAGGGUUGGAUAGAUGUGUGAAAUUGUGGUCAUAUCUAAUGAUUUAGAGGUCAUCAAAGCUGGUUGGGCUAAGUCAUUUGCACCAUUUCCUAAAGAUUGAUAGUGAUGUUCACGUUCUGGUGUUAGACAAAAAAAUCUGUGGAGAUGUUCAAAGUAAACUGCUAACGGUUCUUGAAAGUGGCAAACCAAACUAGCUGGGUUGAUUGGACUGGACUGGUCAAAUUGGUUCAGUUUGGCGGUUUGAACCAAGGCCUCAACCAAAACUUUCUAUAAUUUUCAGUUUUGUUUUAUGUGCAGUGGGAGUUUAGGUUCGCUUAACCAGGGUAACUUUCAUUAAUGAAGAAGCCGACCCAAAGCAGGCCGUCCAACAGAAACAACUACAAGAUUACAUAUUUACAAAAGAGCUCCACUUUCCCCAAACCGAUUGAGGUAAGAUAAGUCUUGCUGGAUUGCUAUUUUUCUUUUAAGUUUUCACAUAGUUUCAACAUAGUCACAGAAAUCGCUCAUCCUCCCGCGAAUUCCGUAUUGGAUCGUUUUGUACCAAAUCGGUACUGGUACGUGACUGGAAUUGAAUGAUACGCUGUACCAAUUUGAUUUUUCAAUCACUCAGAUGUUGUUGGGUUCUGUUAAUUGGAUCGUUAAUUUAGGCUAGCCGCUGCAAGAGAAAACGCGUCUGGUACGUAUGGUAAUAUCAAAUCAGAAAUCACGUGUGAAAAUAGAGAUAGGGCCACUAUUAUCAGAAAGUUUGUUGAACAUGGAACGAAUCGUUGUCCGAUUGGGCUAAGGGUAUAUCAGAAAGUUUAUGUUUAUUUUUUCUAUUUCGUAAUAUGAAGUUUGGAUUUUUAUUAUUUGGUU
Molecule: long non-coding RNA, 1473 nt
Organism: Helianthus annuus (common sunflower)
Lineage: Eukaryota; Viridiplantae; Streptophyta; Magnoliopsida; Asterales; Asteraceae
Exons: 4
Source: RefSeq, a predicted model, not a curated record